Molecule: ribosomal RNA, 459 nt
Filed under: uncultured bacterium
Lineage: Bacteria
Description: partial 16S ribosomal RNA
Rfam family: Bacterial small subunit ribosomal RNA
Source: RNAcentral
CCUACGGGAGGCAGCAGUGGGGAAUAUUGGUCAAUGGGCGAAAGCCUGAACCAGCCAAGUCGCGUGAGGGACGACGGUCCUAUGGAUUGUAAACCUCUUUUGUCGGGGAAAAAAGGCUCCCACGGGUGGGCGGAUGAGUGUACCCUAAGAACAAGCAUCGGCUAACUCCGUUCCAGCGGCCGCGGUAAUACGGAGGAUGCAAGCGUUAUCCGGAUUUAUUGGGUUUAAAGGGUGCGUAGGCGGACAGUCAAGUCAGCGGUAAAAAUGCGGUGCUCAACGCCGUACAGCCGUUGAAACUGGCAGUCUUGAGUGGGCGAGAAGUAGGCGGAAUGCGUGGUGUAGCGGUGAAAUGCAUAGAUAUCACGCAGAACUCCGAUGGCGAAGGCAGCAUACCGGAGCCCGACUGACGCUGAGGCACGAAAGCGUGGGUAUCGAACAGGAUUAGAUACCCUAGUAGUC